Molecule: ribosomal RNA, 484 nt
Filed under: uncultured bacterium
Lineage: Bacteria
Description: partial 16S ribosomal RNA
Rfam family: Bacterial small subunit ribosomal RNA
Source: RNAcentral
AUUGAACGCUGGCGGCAGGCCUAACACAUGCCAGUCGAGCGGAUGAAGGGAGCUUGCUCCUGGAUUCAGCGGCGGACGGGUGAGUAAUGCCUAGGAAUCUGCCUGGUAGUGGGGGAUAACGUCCGGAAACGGGCGCUAAUACCGCAUACGUCCUGAGGGAGAAAGUGGGGGAUCUUCGGACCUCACGCUAUCAGAUGAGCCUAGGUCGGAUUAGCUAGUUGGUGGGGUAAAGGCCUACCAAGGCGACGAUCCGUAACUGGUCUGAGAGGAUGAUCAGUCACACUGGAUCUGAGACACGGUCCAGACUCCUACGGGAGGCAGCAGUGGGGAAUAUUGGACAAUGGGCGAAAGCCUGAUCCAGCCAUGCCGCGUGUGUGAAGAAGGUCUUCGGAUUGUAAAGCACUUUAAGUUGGGAGGAAGGGCAGUAAGUUAAUACCUUGCUGUUUUGACGUUACCAACAGAAUAAGCACCGGCUAACUUCGUG